AGUAGUGUAGUGCAGCUUGACAGCGUGUUUGUUCUGGGUACAAAAUAUCAUGGGUUCAAAUCCUGUCAUCCCUC
This 74-nucleotide transfer RNA is filed under the name Salix viminalis (osier). It matches the Rfam family "tRNA". Rfam says of the family: Transfer RNA (tRNA) molecules are approximately 80 nucleotides in length. The record is from RNAcentral. Lineage: Eukaryota; Viridiplantae; Streptophyta; Magnoliopsida; Malpighiales; Salicaceae. RNAcentral also lists the same sequence under 2 other names.